CGGUUUCUUUGAAGUUUGACGCUCAACUCAGCGUCGGCGUCAUAUUGUGAACCAGGCUUUACAACUUGGAGAUCAAUGGCAGAGAAGACGAAGACAAGAACCACACGACCCACACGAAUUAAACAACGGAUUGCUUGACGACUGUCAAUAUAAAGUUCGAUGCAGACAACGUGAAAAGGGUGGUCACGGAGCCGUGGAGGCUGACAGAUAAGCAUGGAAACAUGGUUGCAUUCGACGAAGUUCGUCCACAAUGCAGGCUUUUCUGCUUUUACUCUCCGGACAAGACAUCGUACGCUUGCCGUGUGACAUCAGUCGUUACAAAAGGCACACUGAAAGGUGCACAACAAGGAGGCUCUCAACGGAA
Corticium candelabrum is the source of this 364-nucleotide long non-coding RNA. RefSeq lists it as uncharacterized. The transcript is spliced from 3 exons. NCBI's taxonomy places the organism in Eukaryota, Metazoa, Porifera, Homoscleromorpha, Homosclerophorida, Plakinidae. The record is from RefSeq and is a predicted model, not a curated record.